Molecule: long non-coding RNA, 1293 nt
Filed under: Setaria viridis
Lineage: Eukaryota; Viridiplantae; Streptophyta; Magnoliopsida; Poales; Poaceae
Description: long non-coding RNA (SVIR_LNC011490)
Source: RNAcentral
CUCACUUCCUGCCCGACCACCUCUCUUGUUUCCCACCAGUCACCUACUGCUCCUCCUCCACCCCUCACCAACUCUUGUUUCAUGGCCGGGCGUCCCCCCCGGUGCACGCUGUGCGGAGGGGCUUGGCAUGAUGCUUAUCAGUGCACCAGCCCGCCGCCUAGCGUCAAUUGGUGCUUUAAGUGUGGCGAGAUGGGGCAUGCCCGGUGGACUUGCCCCCACAAAAUCGGGACUGUCGUCGUCGGUUGCAAUUUCUGCGACGGAGUGGGGCAUAUCCGCAGAAACUGCCCUAGCCCGCACUGCAGCGGGUGUCACGGAAACCAUCCGAGGACCCAUUGUCCCGACUCGCCGUGCUACAAGUGCGCAGGCAACGGGCAUAUGGCUCAGGACUGCACCAGCCAGGGCCACGAAAUUUGCAGCUUCUGUGGCCAGACGGGCCACUCCCAGCCACAGUGUAGCAGCCGGCUCCCGGGCCGCAGGGCAUGCCGCAAUUGCGGAGGGAUGGGUCACAGUCACCAGAACUGCGCUAGCGCCUACAACCCGCCUCAUUGCACAGUGUGCAAUACUGACGGUCACAUGCCCACAGAAUGCCCCGUGCGCACCGGAGAUCGAGAUGAUCCAUACAGGGCAUUUGUAAGCCCUGAUGCAUGCGCCCUGUGCAAUAGAACCGGACACGUUCAAGCCAAUUGUCCCCAGUUACGGCGCCGCCGCUGAUAGUUCGUUCUUCCUUAAGGCUUAACCUAUGUAUCUGUUAGACUUAGCAGUGUGAGUAAUUAGUAUCCUUUAUCUUAGUUUCGAGGAGGUGUUAGUUUGAAUCUACCGUGUGUGUGUGUGUGGAGCGGUAAGGCUUCAGUUCCUGUAUGUUUUAAGAUUGUACGCGUAAGGCUUCAGUUCAUGUAUGGCUCUAUCCAUAGUCUCGAUGCUUGGCUUUGGAAAAGAAUGCAUUGUUUACUGUUUGGAAAUUUCUUUCAUCUAUCUACGUACUGACGCUCCUUCUAAUUCAUUUUCCAUAUUGGAUAUCAUCCAUGGAUCGGUGUAUGAGAUCUUAUUAUGUUAUUAUUUUUUAUCUACUAGUUUCUUGAAAGGUAGAAUGUUUUCUUAUGUACAAAUUUGUAGUUGUUGGAAUUGAUCUUGGCUUAGUCAAAGGAUCAAGUGGGUUAACUACCUAAUUACCAUCCCACGUUGCCCUGGUUUGGGGGCAACAAACUGACCAACGGCCCUCGCCGUUUUGUUUUCCCGUUCGGCGCGGUGGACCAUCCGAUGCGACGGACGGUGGAGAUUGCAGCGGGUGCGGAU